This is a long non-coding RNA of Dermochelys coriacea (leatherback sea turtle), 3698 nucleotides long. RefSeq lists it as uncharacterized. The transcript has 3 exons. The record is from RefSeq and is a predicted model, not a curated record. NCBI's taxonomy places the organism in Eukaryota, Metazoa, Chordata, Testudines, Dermochelyidae.
CAGAAUAUCUGUGGUUACAAUUAGCCCCAACCUGCAGCUUGUCAGGGCUGGGGUAGGCCCUUAAAAAGAAGGAACUCAGCUGAGUUGGGAUGUCACUCUGAAACAAGAAGAGUUAAUGCUCACAGGCAAGCCAGAGGGGUUCCUCAACAAGGAGUAGCUUGAGAGUACAGGCAGCCUGCACCCUCAGGCUGGCAAGAAGAUGGGCUGAACUUUGUUUUGUUGUUAACCCCAGGACUAACUCUUGGCCUUUAGCCACACAGUGUGUGGGAGCUAAGACUUCUUGUAAAGCCCAAAAGGCUGCUUCCCCUCAUUUGUAUAAGGAAGGGGUCCUGGUACCGUGAGGGACUAUUGGAAGUAUUUUCCUUUUUUGUUUGAGUUGUUUUACAAUCCAUGGAAGGGAACAGACUUGCUAAGAGGUACAGCCAGAGGGCGAUACUCCAGGAGCAGACUACAAGAAUGCUACUGCCUGGGGAAUGACAUGCAAGUUUUUCAUUUUGAGACCAAGUCCAAGCCAUCCACACUAUGAUGAGUAGAGGCUGACAAGAUGGAUAUUUGUACAAAGGAGAAGCACAGAGUGGAACAACACACAGCUGGGUCCAAACAAUUUACCUGUGAUUUGGUCUGUAUCCUUGGCUGCAUCCAAGAAGCAUACACCACAGUUCAAGAGAGCCCACGUCUGGGGUGCAGAGGUGUCUUAAUGCCAACCAUGCUGUGGCCAGUCCCUAGAAUAAGCAUGGGCUGCCAAUGACCCCAAGAAGUGGAUAAAACAGCAAGGAGAAGAGAUUUCCCAGCCACAUCUGUGUUCCCUGGCCAUGUGCCCUAUCCAGGAUAUUGGAAGGAUGAGUGAUAUAACACCACCAGAGGAACUUUCUAUAGUGGGAUGAACCUCCCUUGACCGUCUAUGCUGGCUUUAGGGUUACAGCACUGCCCAGGAUCUCAGUUGUGAUAGUUAUUGCAGCUGCAGUUGAAUAGCACUUGACCCUUUGCUUCCACUUUUCCACAUAGAGAAACAUGAAAAUUCUGUGUCUUGUUUUUUCAUCCCCUCACAUGAGUGGCUUUCCCAACACAAAGGGGGAAACACUUUGUGAUGAUAACGUUCUGGUUUUGGAAUCUUCCAAUAUGAUCCACAAAAAAGACAAGCGGAGUGUAAUGAUUCUGCCACUAUAUUAAGCAAGCAGUGAUUGGCCCUUGGGAAGCUCUCAGUAUAUCUUCUUAAAUGCCAGAGUGCACAGAAGAUUACAGGCCAAAAACUGAUGUAAAGGUUCAAGCAUUUCUCCAUGGGACUGAAAUAUCUUUUAUCCUAGAAUUUUUCUUCACAUAAAGUUGCCCGAAUUACUUUUGGGAAUUCACUAAAACUAAAGGUUUCUCUCCUCCUUUGUAGCUUAAGCUAGCACUUGACUGAUUUUUUUUUUCCUGACAGUUCACUAAUAUUUCUCUGGAUUUAUUGAAAUGAACAGGAUUCUCAGUUACUUGACAGCAGUUGGCUUAAUUUCUGUGGAUAAAAUCACUAUAGUGGGCUAUAAAUAUAUAGUGUGUCCAGAAGCACAGUUUGUAUUUUUAGAUUUUUAUUUUAAAGGCCAAAAAUCAGGUACAAACUCUAGAAAGAAAGUACCUUUAGGUGUAACAUGUUUAUUAUGCUGAAAACAAAACACAAAGGUGUUAGUCUCUGAAUGAAGAAGGAAUUGUAUAAGGACUUCAAGGAUCACACUACAUAGAAUGUUAACUUAUGGAUUAAACAUGCAGACCAUUUACUAAGGACCCCAGACAGUUAAUCAAUAAUGUUUUGCCCUAUUCACCUGCACUAUCAGGUUUCAACAGGGAAAAUAAAACUCUCUCCUGCUUCUUGUAUUACUUGAUUCAUAAAGUUUAAAAAAGUAAAAUUUAGACAGAUUUUUAAAUGAAGUUUAUAUAGCAUGACUUCUGGCCAAGUCUCUUAGGCUAAAAAUUCGGAUUCGGAGAGCUCCCUCCUAAUGUCUGGAAAUCAGGCACACUGUGCUAUCAUUUUUGACAGAUCUUACAAACCUGAGUAAGGCUAGGCAAGUGCUUGGCUGGGAGACAAAUAGAGAAUGCAUAGGUGCUACAAGAAACAUUGAUUUGCUAGAUAGAAUUUUCUUCUGAAGUUACUGAACCAAUGAUCUAAUACACUUUGAAUUAGACAUUAAACUGAGUCACUAAGAAUCAGAUGUAGGAAUGAUGAUGCCAACUUCCUAGCCAAUUUUCAGCCCAGCAAUUUACAUUGUGCCUUCUCAAAAUCCCCCCACCCCCCAGAGUUGCACAUGGAUUCAGUAUUCUUUGCUUGCUGUCUUGUUAAAAAAAAUACACAAUUUGGGUUGUUUCUUUGCUGUUUACUAUGCUGCACUUCACCCCAGAGGUGGCUGCAUUUCAGAGUUGUGCAUUGAUCCAUAACUACACUUCCUACCUUACCCACAAAGGAGUUUUGAGGCUUAGUUAGGUAACAUACAAUCUGACUCCCAUUGGGAUCAGUGUGUGUCUUUUUCCCUCUGACUUCAGUGGAAGUUGGAUGGGAUUGCUAAUGUUUUCAAAGCACUUUGAGACCCUCGGAUAAAAAAUGCAAUUGAGAGUCAAAGUAUUAUUAGUGUAUACUUAUUUUAUUAUGAAACAGGGUGAUAGUGAAGGGAUAAUACUUGAAUGUGAUUGAGUAUGGUUCAUAAAAAUGUUACAGUAAACAUAGCUACUCUCAACAGCCUUUUUCUUUCAGUAUUUUCACUUCUCUAAAUGAAUGGAAUGUCAGUCUAGAUUUUCUUUAAAUGCAUGUGUCAUGCUGCAGCAAGUGUCCAUUUUUCUUCAAGAAACAAUGAAAACAAUUCUUUACUCAAGAGAACAAGACCAAAUAAUCCACUGACUAUUGGUUAUUUGAAUUUAAAAAAAUGGUAAAAGUAUCAUUCUAUAGGUCCAAAGUUCCUGCAAGCUAUAGUAUUUUAUUAGAGAAACAAACUAAAGAAAUGAGUUAUGAUUUUUUGUGCUCGUAAAUCAUAUUUUAACACUGAUUUUUGUGGAUCUGCUUUUUAUCACUUUUCCUUUUUCAUUCUUGAUUAUCCUAUUCAGUUUGUUUAAUAUAAUACAUUCUUUGGCUGCACUUCACACUUGGAAAGCAGAUCCACAAUUCAUAAAAGUUCACUAACGAAUCCACUAGAAACAGAGAUAAUUUGAUAGUGGAUAUCUACUGAUUGUGUACAUUGCUGACACAGAAGUAUUCAGCGUGUUACCAUGAAUGGCAAUGCAUUUGGAUCAAACAUUCUUUGAUGAUCUGUGAAAAUAUCAGUGUUGUAUUAGAUUAUCAGAACACAAUACUACACACUUAGAGAUCCUUGGAUUAAAAAGGUACUACCUAAGUGCUUUGUAAAGUUGGAUGCUUUACAAAUGGGAAUAGUGAUGAGCAUGUAUUUGAAAGUCUGCACUGAAGUCAUGCAUGCAGAACAGCCAUUGUGAGAUAGGUGAAAAGAGACUUCACCUUUCGCUGAACAUCAGGUAUUGACCACUGCUGUGGGCAGAACAUGAGACUUGAUUGACCAAUAGUAUGAUCUCGUAGGAUAUUUUAUGCUUGUUCCUAGAAGAUGUCAUGCUUUUUCAGCUGACAGCAUGAUGUCUUUCCAGGUUCUUUUUGCCACCAUGGCAACUUAAAAACCUUCCCCAGGUGACAUCUAGGUUUCCUAUUUCCCCUCGGUUUUAUGUUAACU